RNAcentral lists this ribosomal RNA (253 nucleotides) under uncultured bacterium. RNAcentral describes it as "partial 16S ribosomal RNA". It matches the Rfam family "Bacterial small subunit ribosomal RNA", at positions 524 to 776 of the family's 1533-position model. The record is from RNAcentral.
UACGGGGGGAGCAAACGUUGUUCGGAAUCACUGGGCGUAAAGGGCGCGUAGGCGGCCAGAUAAGUGGGGUGUUAAAUCUCCCGGCUCAACCGGGAACCUGCACCUCAUACUGCCUGGCUUGAGUACAGCAGAGGAGACUGGAAUUCCCGGCGUAGCGGUGAAAUGCGUAGAUAUCGGGAGGAACACCAGUGGCGAAGGCGAGUCUCUGGGCUGUAUCUGACGCUGAUGCGCGAAAGCUAGGGGAGCAAACGGG